This 78-nucleotide non-coding RNA is filed under the name Actinomadura meyerae. The record is from RNAcentral. Lineage: Bacteria; Bacillati; Actinomycetota; Actinomycetes; Streptosporangiales; Thermomonosporaceae.
UUGAGCCGUGUGCCGUGACGAAUGGCACGCACGGUUCUGAGGGGGCGGGGACGCAGUAAUGCGUCCCCGCUACCCGAC